This is a long non-coding RNA of Etheostoma cragini (Arkansas darter), 129 nucleotides long. RefSeq lists it as uncharacterized. The transcript is spliced from 3 exons. NCBI's taxonomy places the organism in Eukaryota, Metazoa, Chordata, Actinopteri, Perciformes, Percidae. The record is from RefSeq and is a predicted model, not a curated record.
CAGGUAGAACUGAACAGCCCCGCCCGCUGCAGAGAACCGACAGGAUUGAAACGGCAGCAGCUUUCAGCGACUUUAGAGUGAAAAAUCAUUACAGCAUACAUUGACAAAAUAUAUAGAGAUUGGCAGGAC